Molecule: unclassified non-coding RNA, 318 nt
Filed under: Vincetoxicum anomalum
Lineage: Eukaryota; Viridiplantae; Streptophyta; Magnoliopsida; Gentianales; Apocynaceae
Description: contains 5' external transcribed spacer, ETS
Source: RNAcentral
CCGGUUUCCUGCGUUGCGUACCUACACGAAGGCAUUCGUUGUUGUCCCAGCGACCCUCGUUCGUUUAGAGCUCCCCUCUUUGGCGGGGCACAAGGCGAAAGUUGCGGCUUGGUCCGUUACCCACGUCGCUUACUGCUGUCGUGGUGAACGGGGCUUUGCUUAAGCUCUCGGAUACGGAAAGCAUUGAGGGCAUUGACAUGUCAUCCUUGCCCGAGCAUGCAUUAGAUCGGACCCUAGGAACAACGGUGCACGACUGUAGCUCCCGCCUCGGUUCGGCCGUGCGGGCAGUCACGUCGUUGAGGAAUGCUACCUGGUUGA